RNAcentral lists this transfer RNA (73 nucleotides) under Podarcis lilfordi (Lilford's wall lizard). It matches the Rfam family "tRNA". Rfam says of the family: Transfer RNA (tRNA) molecules are approximately 80 nucleotides in length. Their secondary structure includes four short double-helical elements and three loops (D, anti-codon, and T loops). Lineage: Eukaryota; Metazoa; Chordata; Lepidosauria; Squamata; Lacertidae. The record is from Rfam by way of RNAcentral.
GCUGGGCUGGCUCAGUCGGUAGCGCAUGAGACUCUUAAUCUCAGGGUCCUGGGUUCGAGCCCCAUGUUGGGCA